RNAcentral lists this ribosomal RNA (253 nucleotides) under uncultured bacterium. RNAcentral describes it as "partial 16S ribosomal RNA". It matches the Rfam family "Bacterial small subunit ribosomal RNA", at positions 524 to 776 of the family's 1533-position model. The record is from RNAcentral.
UACGUAGGGUGCUAACGUUGUUCGGAAUCACUGGGCAUAAAGAGCGCGUAGGCAGUCUGAUAAGUCAGGUGUGAAAUCCCCCGGCUCAACCGGGGAACUGCACCUGAUACUGUUGGGCUUGAGUGCAGGAGGGGAGAGCGGAAUUCCAGGUGUAGCGGUGAAAUGCGUAGAUAUCUGGAGGAACACCGGUGGCGAAGGCGGCAUCCUGGACCGGUAUUGACGCUGAGGCGCGAAAGCUAGGGGAGCAAACGGG